GUUUUCUUCUAAACAGCAUGUUAGUGCAAAGCAUAAAUCAGCAGAAACGGGAAGACUUUGCAUCUCUGGUUCACUUGCUCCGUUCCUUCUGCAGCAUGAAGUGUGACCUCAAGAAGAAACUCUUACUUUUUUCAUUCAUGUUGUACUUGAUCCUUAACGUGAAGUCAACGCAUGAAGUCAAUGGUACAUCGGAAAAAAACAUUACUGUUAAAUUUACUUUACAAGACCCUGUUAUCAUCAAAAUCUCUGAUAAACCUAGUUUGUACAAAGAUAAGAACAAGAUAGGAAGUUGCAAACAAAUCAGCCCUUGUAAAGAAAAGUUUGCACUCAGUGAUGUGGAAAACUGUACUGUCACACUACACAUCACAAAUCUCACACUGGAAGAUGAAGGAACAUAUCAUGUUGCAGUGUAUUCGGAAGGUGCUAACCCUCUUAUUGAGAGCAAUAGAAUUUAUAUUAAAGUCACAUUAAGCAAUACAACAACAGAAACUACAACCACAGCUGUGCAUGAAAAUGUAGUGACUAAUUCACCUAAACUGGAGCUAUCGGAACAAAAACCAUUCUUCAUUUUCUUCAGUGCAUCAGUCAUAAUAUUUAUAUGUCUUUUUGUGGGCAUAUUGUGCUGGCUUUUUAGGACCCAUCCAAGAAAACCAGAUGCAGAAAACCCACCAGUUCACAGCAAGAGAUCCACACAACUGCAGGGGCAGUGUGGGACAUCCGGGGCUGUGUUUGUCAGCUGUGUGGAGUAUGGAGAGUUAGACUUUCAAAAUAGACCUGAAAGAGAUGACAGAGUAAAACUUGCCGAGGCGACAUCAAAGGCCCAGGAUGGAGUGGAAUAUGCUGCCAUCAUUUUCCAUCAGCAAAAACAGCCACCGAAUGGGCGGAUGAGAAAUAAACAGCAAGUACCUGCUAUUAAGUGAUAGUCAUAAAACUCAUAAAACCAUGUAUUGUCCACUAAAGUGAGUCUGUUUUAACGUUUUCUCAUGUAAACCUAAUAUAUACUAUUUGGGAGUUAUGGAGAGUGAGUAGAAAUCUUAAGACUUAUCAUUUUUGAUAAUAAUUACAUGAUCACAAUCUGCCACAUACUGUAAAUCAUCUUCUCACUGUUAACGAGUUCAAACUGAUACUGUAAACGUGCCACAGAGUUUAACACUGAGUCAUAGUGAGGUGCUAACCACAGAAGCCCCCAUAAAGAAACCUGAGGUACGUGAAUAUAUUUGUACAGUAUUAUGCAACCCAGGCUCAUUGGAAAGAACGUGCCUAGCCUGCAAAAUGAUAGCAUGUUGCAACAUUUCGCAACACUUUCCAAGUGAAAUGUCCAGUAAAUGGUGGUGCAAAAAAAAGGACGUUCAAUUCAGUCUAAAACAGAUGAACGUGAAUUUGGCAGCGUUUUGUUGAGUUGGUUGUUUAAUGUGAAUCGCAGCAGUCCGUGAAUUAAAUGUCUGGUGGGUGGCGCUAAAAGGUUAAUGCUCUACCGCAUUUGCAGUGCUGGGUAGAUUAUCAACUGAUUACAAAUUACAUGACAAAACUAGUAGUUAUAACUAUAGUGACAUAAUCCAUUACAUUACACAUUUUAUUUAAUAUAGGGCCAGAUUUACUAAACUGGGCAAAUCAGCAUGAGAGCGUAAUCCCAUAAAAGCGCAGAUGGGAAUUAGGGAGAAUCAACAAAUUAUGAAUUAUUUAUUGCUAUUGUGCGAAUAAUAUGUAAUCACGUAAUCAAUAAAAAGUAACCGUAAUCUGAUUAUGUAUAUUUCACAUGUAAUAUAAUCUAGUUACAAGUACUUAAAUUUUGGAAUCUGAUUACAUAAUCCAGAUUACAUGUAAUCAGUUACUACCCAUUACUGCACAUUUGAAAAUAUCGUACCGCUACACCUAACAAAGGCAAACAAUGAGUUAAAAAUGCAUUUGCUGAAGCAAGUGUGCUAUUUUAUGUUGCUACUACAAGUCUUAGAGCUCUUUUAAUGUGACUUGUACAUCACAGGACUUGUACCUGAGCAAGUGCAAUGCUGUACCGGGUGCGCUACUGAGCAAAUUUACUAUGUGACUUACACCAUACAUGUGGAGCUAAUUAAAAUAUGUGAUGCAAAUGCAUCGCAAAUUACAAUUCAUGCUCUAUGGUGAAAGUGUUUUAAGGUCAUAGUAUCACUAGUAAAACUGCGUGAAAAAUCUAUAAUCUGACCCUUUAAUCAUAAUUUGUGUGAAAACUGUCACACUAGGGACAUUUUACUGUCACUAGUGUUCAUUGCAACUGGAAACUGCAGCGAGGUGUAUGCAUAGGUAUGUUUGUGGAGUUGAGCAAAAAUAUAGAGGCACGUUUUUUCCAAUAAGCCCAUGUUGCAACCACAAGCAUAUUAUUUCUCAUCUGUGGUAUACACAAGAGUAAUACCUCAAUCUGUGGGGCUUAUGAGGAGAGGUUUGUGUGCUAUUACAUUUAUUAAAAAUAAGACUUACGAUUUGAUAAAACUGGCCAAAAAUCCCCAGCAUUCAUGGAGGGACCUGAGUCAUUUCCAGACCAGAGACUUGAGAGUGUGGCGGCGAGUUUUGCAUUCACAGACACCACUCACGUUUUCUUCAGAAAAUGUGAAGAUAAGUUUUGAUUUUGUCGUUCUCCUGUUAUCAUUUUCUUAUGCGCUACUAAAAUGCUUCUGUGUAUCCUAACACUAUGUAUCUUAAAAUGUAAGUCAGCAGUUUGUGUAUUAUGUAAAUUGUGUAUGCUGAUUAUUGCACUAUGUGUGUAAAUAUUGUACUUGAAUGAGUUCUGUACUACAUAUGAAUGUAUAGCCAAGAAGGAGUCUCAUAAAAUUAGUAAAAAUGUUAAACAAUGUUUAAAAAAUAUUGUAUGACACAGCCUGUCAUUUUUAAACACAUGCAUCCUGAUUUAACACUAAAAGCAACAGAUGCACUUUAC
This 2908-nucleotide long non-coding RNA is filed under the name Sinocyclocheilus grahami. RNAcentral describes it as "lncRNA (ENSSGRG00000039589.1)". The record is from RNAcentral. Lineage: Eukaryota; Metazoa; Chordata; Actinopteri; Cypriniformes; Cyprinidae.